AUCGGUCCUUGGAGCGGCGAGGACACACCCGUUCCCAUCCCGAACACGGCAGUUAAGCUCGCCAGCGCCGAAGAUACUUGGGGCGCAGGCCCUCGGGAAAAUAGGUCAGGGCCGGGG
RNAcentral lists this ribosomal RNA (117 nucleotides) under Chloroflexota bacterium. Lineage: Bacteria; Bacillati; Chloroflexota. The record is from RNAcentral.